This 404-nucleotide long non-coding RNA is filed under the name Homo sapiens (human). RNAcentral describes it as "non-protein coding lnc-CXXC4-5:1". The record is from RNAcentral. Lineage: Eukaryota; Metazoa; Chordata; Mammalia; Primates; Hominidae.
GAUAGAUGCCUGCACUCAAAUGUAAAAUAUGCAAACAUUCAAGCGAACGUAACUUUUACAUGCACAACUGUAUUUUUCCUCAUCUCAUCCAAAACUAGGAACAUUGGCAUAGGAAGACAGAAACCUCAGCUUUCAGAAUCCAAUAUACGAGGUGAAGAAGCAGUCAACACAACAAAGAAGAAAGGAGGAAAGCAAGUAGAGGAACAAGGAGGCAAAGGUCUUGCUUGACUCAUCUCUGCUGUGGUGACCUUGGAGGCUUCAUAUUCCAGAUUGCACAGCCAUAAGAUGAAAGAAGACUUCUCACUCACAUUAGACUCUGAGAAUCUCCAGUGUUGAAUAGAAUUGGCAAGUUUACACAUCUUUGUCUUCUCCUGACCUUAGGGGACAGCAUUCACUUUUUCACC